Long non-coding RNA from Daphnia magna, 1480 nucleotides. RefSeq lists it as uncharacterized. The transcript has 5 exons. NCBI's taxonomy places the organism in Eukaryota, Metazoa, Arthropoda, Branchiopoda, Diplostraca, Daphniidae. The record is from RefSeq and is a predicted model, not a curated record.
CAUUACAGAUGCAGGCGGAUAUAAUGGAUGUCGUCUGACUUUCGUCUUAGUACCGUUGUCUGUCUGUGUUCUAUAUGUACUAUUUUUUUACAUUCAAUGCGGUUGAUUUAAGUUGAAGUUGGCUUAAAUUUUCACUGAAAUUGUGAUUUUAAUAGUUUUUGUGCCCUUGGAAACUUCUGAAACGUCAGAAAUUGAAAGUAUGAGUGGCCAUAAUUCAAACUCAGUAACCACAGUUAGUAGCAGUACCACCGCUUGUAAAAGCGUUAUUACUGCCCCAUGAGUUCUUUCAGUUUCUUGGUGAUGUACCCGGUAAAGAAGCAGGGUACUACAAGUGUCUUUUCCCAGGAUGUCAGCCGAAAAAGGAUAAAAAGAAUAAAUAAAAACCACUCACUGUUUACAAUGAGACUAGAAUUAAUGGCAAAUGCCAUUUUUGUUGUAGGACCACGACCCUACUGGUGAGCUGAAUCAUGAGAAGAAAUGGAAAGAUGCUUUAAAAGUUAUGAAAGAACAGUUGAGGCCUUGCAAACAACAGUAGCCCACAAGCGCUUCCCAAACAGUUUAUAAUCACACAACAUGAUUUAAACGACUGGGUAUUGAACUGCUUAAUUGUUGAUGUAAUGCCUUUCGAAAAACCCGGAUUUAAAAGGCUCGUCACAAACCUUGCUCCAAAUCUCAAACUAUUUGGACGUACUUUUUUCGCACGGCUAGUACAUUACAAAUUUGAUCACAGAAGACAGCAACUGAUCGAGGAGUUAGAAAACAGCACUGAUGCAAGUACUACGAUCGACGCAUGGACAUGCCGAAGAAAGAGUUAUCUUGGCGAAACCAUACAUUGGUUUACUGAAGGAAGUUUUCAACGCAAAAAUGCCUGCCUGGCCAUUCGUAGAGUGAAGGGUAGUCAUACUUUUGACGUCUUAGCGCUGAAACUUAUCGAAGAUAUUAAUGUUGAAUUUGCUGGAACUGAUAAGCUGCGGGACUCUACAACCGACAACGGAUCCAAUUUUUGUAAAUGUUUUCGCGAAAGAGGUGCUGGGUCUAGCUUAUCAGACGGCCUAGAGGAGUUUUCUGAGGAAGAGCACGACGAUGAAAUGGUAUUUAUUGAUCUGGGAGAAAUACUUAGUUCACAAACAAUACCCAUAAGCAGUCGCCAAGUUACGCUUCUUGUCCACCGAAGAUGCGCAUACCAUCUAUUAAAUUCGAUAUGCAAACCGACCGUCGACAAUCGUCGAUUUAAAAUAUCUCUGACUGUGUAGUUAAAUUGCUGCGCUAAAAAGAAAAAGCUUUGUGAAAACUAAUGGAAGAGUUGAAAAUGCCAUGCCAUGAAAGGAAAUGAAGAGCUAUAUAUAAAGGAAUACGCUAAAAGUAUGAAAACUGUUGUAGAAGCCCUUGAUAUUUUACAAUGAAAAAAAAUGUCGGCCUCGGUUAUCUUUUACCGACUAUAACAGUUUUCAAAUCAAAUCUCCUACUUUUAAAAGACGAC